ACGCGAGGAACCUUACCAGGUCUUGACAUCCUCUGACACUCCUAGAGAUAGGACGUUCCCCUUCGGGGGACAGAGUGACAGGUGGUGCAUGGUUGUCGUCAGCUCGUGUCGUGAGAUGUUGGGUUAAGUCCCGCAACGAGCGCAACCCUUGAUCUUAGUUGCCAGCAUUUAGUUGGGCACUCUAAGGAGACUGCCGGUGACAAACCGGAGGAAGGUGGGGAUGACGUCAAAUCAUCAUGCCCCUUAUGACCUGGGCUACACACGUGCUGCAAUGGACGGUACAAACGGUUGCCAACCCGCGAGGGGGAGCUAAUCCGAUAAAACCGUUCUCAGUUCGGAUUGUAGGCUGCAACUCGCCUACAUGAAGCCGGAAUCGCUAGUAAUCGCGGAUCAGCAUGCCGCGGUGAAUACGUUCCCGGGCCUUGCACACACCGCCCGU
This 439-nucleotide ribosomal RNA is filed under the name uncultured bacterium. Its description in RNAcentral is "bacterial SSU rRNA". It matches the Rfam family "Bacterial small subunit ribosomal RNA", at positions 959 to 1397 of the family's 1533-position model. The record is from RNAcentral.